Molecule: long non-coding RNA, 319 nt
Filed under: Elaeis guineensis (African oil palm)
Lineage: Eukaryota; Viridiplantae; Streptophyta; Magnoliopsida; Arecales; Arecaceae
Description: long non-coding RNA (EGUI_LNC065801)
Source: RNAcentral
UCUUCAUCCUCUAAAUAUUCUCUUACUUUGGAGUAUCCAAGGUGUUUGAAGAAGAAGAAAGAAAUCAGCCAUUGAAGUUUCUUGCAGGCUAGCACCUCCAAGGACCCUGAUCUGCACCAGUCUUCGCAUGGAUUUUCUAUAGAGAUCAGAUGACUGGCUAUGAGUGACCUGAAGGACAUCUUCUCUAAGUGUUGAACCAGCAAAGAUCAAGAUCUCCUUGGUUUGGUAAUUAUUUCUAACCUAUCUUGAUCAUAUUGUUAGAUCUAAUAGUUAGAUAUUCAUGGUAGCAUCGAUUAGAUCGAUAUAAAUUUUUAUAUUC